UACAGGGGGUGCGAGCGUUAAUCAGAAUUACUGGGCGUAAAGCGUGCGCAGGCGGUUAUGCAAGACAGAUGUGAAAUCCCCGGGCUCAACCUGGGAACUGCAUUUGUGACUGCAUGACUGGAGUACGGCAGAGGGGGAUGGAAUUCCGCGUGUAGCAGUGAAAUGCGUAGAUAUGCGGAGGAACACCGAUGGCGAAGGCAAUCCCCUGGGCCUGUACUGACGCUCAUGCACGAAAGCGUGGGGAGCAAACAGG
This 253-nucleotide ribosomal RNA is filed under the name uncultured bacterium. RNAcentral describes it as "partial 16S ribosomal RNA". It matches the Rfam family "Bacterial small subunit ribosomal RNA", at positions 524 to 776 of the family's 1533-position model. The record is from RNAcentral.